UCGACUACUCAAUAUUCUGUUACCAAUCAGCAUAGUCCGUGAGCUCGCUUCCGAAGACGCAAGCCAAAUCCUGUUUUUUUUCUCUAGUGCAAUCAUUGCUUGCCUUCGCUGUCGGCCAUUUUUUCUGCUCGUUAUUUUCGCGCCUGCCCAUUUCUGUCUCUGACGUUCUGCGACUGCGUAUGGUUCCGACGCCGUAUCAAUGUAAUUCGCUAUUGUUAAAGUUAGUUCUCGGCGACUAAGUUGAAGCUCCAGUGUUAUUCAACGUUCUAUGAUGGGCAUGACGAUAAGCUCUGGUUUAAUUUAGCUGCAAGGGAAAGUCCUGUUCCCGUUUUCCUGUUAGGCCGUUUCUGCAACAGCCCUUCUUGUUUCCAUCCGUUCUGCCAUGUCCUCCUGGUUGGUAACGGUAGACUUGUGCUGCGUUGCCCCUUUCUCGGUGGCAACGCUACUUACGCUGGUAGUAGUACCAUGCUCUUCAUUCAAGUGGUUUUUAUUUAGUCUUUUCUCUUCAGUGUUAGUUCUUCUUUUCUUGGGCUUUCGGAUUUCGGGCCGCUUCUGCGACUUCUCCCUUUUCUUCAACGCUACUUCAUUGGACCGAAGUGAAACAUAACGAAGUCGGCGCUACUUGGACCGAGGAAUGGUGCGGAUCAUAUCAACAGCGAUAACGACCAUAUGUGCUGCUCCGCUUUUUGGGGCCUUGACCGCGGCGUCUAUCGCGACAGCUUGUGCUAUUGUGAAACCUAACAAACGAAGGCAAUGGCUCGACGUGGACAAUUUUUUCUCGGCGUUCCCAUCAGACGUCAUUCUUGUUUCGCAGGGAUUGAGGCGACCGGCUGAAGUCGUCAGACAGACACACACAUCGAGUCACAUUUAGCAAACGUUGUCGUAUCCGGAGCAGAUCGGGGAGGUUUUGACAAACGGAACUCAUACGAUGAUCGUACUGUCGUAGUUAGGAAAGUACUUUUGCUGAUUGCUUUUUUUUUUUUUCGCUAAAUUACGUACCUAAUAUUAAAUCUAAUCAUAUGUGAAAUGUUUUAAUUGAAUCUAUGAAACUGCAAAAAGAAAUUGUUAUUAUAAGUCACAAACAAAAAACCGUUUCGACAAUAAGGGCACGCUUUGCUGUUACCAGAAUGUGUUUUUUUUUCGUGAUCCGAAACCAGUGGCUUUAAAUCUAUGGGGCGUUAGUUCAAACGUUAUCCCACGACACAAAAUCAACCUGUUAGAUAUUGUGAGCGAAUUUUCUUCAAGCUCUUUAAUACUUCUUGACGGAUCUCUAGACAACAAUUUGUUUACCUGCAGUUGUAUGCUUAAAAGGAUAAAUGUUAGCAAGAAUAAUGGCAACACUUGCGGUUAGACCAACUGAAGGAGAAAGGCCACAUAGGAUACAAGAUAGCAAGAUAUGAAGGCCGGGAUAAAAUUCACGACGAAAAUCAACGCGCACAUCCUCCAUAAGUUUCUUUUACUUUGCAAGUAGUUAACAGUUACGGUUGAUUUGCUUGAGUAAGCGUUUUUAUUCCGCAGAUCCGAUGUAUCGAAGCGGAAACGAUGAUCGCUCCGUCACUUGCCGAACUUGCAUGCCAGUAUAGUUAAGUACAAUUUGAAUAAUCGCGCCGUUGUUGAACUGCACGUAGGCGGCGGUCGGAAAGACAACAAAUGCAUCCAGCGAAAGAGCGGUCGAUAUGACCAGGCCGAUUCUAUUAAAGCCCUUUCUAUCUAUGCACGUCCACUGUUCGUCGUGUCCUGACUAACAUUCAUGUGACGUCCACGCCUGGCCAAUUUGCCGAAGCAGAAAUAACCAGACUCCUAUCCACUAUAUGGCGCUAUGUUAUGAUCUCGCACCAGUCUGACCAUCCAGCAAUCGUUACUCAUUAGAAUGCAGUUCAACGACCUGGCAAUUCGUGUGGGGACUAGAAAUCGCGAAUGGAGCGGCAUUAACGUAUCAAUCACGUACACGAACGCCCCAUAAAUGAGGGCUUAUCAUAUGUAUAAUUUUACGAAAAUAGACAAAGAGCAUUCACAGUGUGCACUCAUUACUAACAGCACAAACAAAGCAUCGCAAACAUUUAUAGUCAACCUUA
RNAcentral lists this long non-coding RNA (2075 nucleotides) under Varroa destructor (honeybee mite). RNAcentral's name for it is "uncharacterized LOC111255371". The record is from RNAcentral. Lineage: Eukaryota; Metazoa; Arthropoda; Arachnida; Mesostigmata; Varroidae.